Molecule: ribosomal RNA, 436 nt
Filed under: uncultured bacterium
Lineage: Bacteria
Description: bacterial SSU rRNA
Rfam family: Bacterial small subunit ribosomal RNA
Source: RNAcentral
UACGGAAGGCAGCAGGGGGAAUAUUGCACAAUGGGCGGAAGCCUGAUGCAGCGACGCCGCGUGAGGGAUGACGGCCUUCGGGUUGUAAACCUCUUUCAGCACGGAAGAAGCGAAAGUGACGGUACGUGCAGAAGAAGCGCCGGCUAACUACGUGCCAGCAGCCGCGGUAAUACGUAGGGCGCAAGCGUUGUCCGGAAUUAUUGGGCGUAAAGAGCUCGUAGGCGGUUUGUCGCGUCUGCUGUGAAAGCCCGGGGCUUAACCCCCGGGUGUGCAGUGGGUACGGGCAGACUUUGAGUGCAGUAGGGGAGACUGGAAUUCCUGGUGUAGCGGUGAAAUGCGCAGAUAUCAGGAGGAACACCGAUGGCGAAGGCAGGUCUCUGGGCUGUUACUGACGCUGAGGAGCGAAAGCAUGGGGAGCGAACAGGGAUUAGAUACC